AUGUAAAAUGACUCUCGGCAACGGAUAUCUCGGCUCUUGCAUCGAUGAAGAACGUAGCGAAAUGCGAUACUUGGUGUGAAUUGCAGAAUCCCGUGAACCAUCGAGUCUUUGAACGCAAGUUGCGCCCAAAGCCAUUAGGCUGAAGGCACGCCUGCCUGGGUGUCACAC
This 168-nucleotide ribosomal RNA is filed under the name Phaseolus lunatus (lima bean). RNAcentral describes it as "5.8S ribosomal RNA". It matches the Rfam family "5.8S ribosomal RNA". Rfam says of the family: 5.8S ribosomal RNA (5.8S rRNA) is a component of the large subunit of the eukaryotic ribosome. The record is from RNAcentral. Lineage: Eukaryota; Viridiplantae; Streptophyta; Magnoliopsida; Fabales; Fabaceae.